This 76-nucleotide transfer RNA is filed under the name Candidatus Saccharimonadota bacterium. RNAcentral describes it as "tRNA-Arg". It matches the Rfam family "tRNA". From Rfam's summary of the family: Transfer RNA (tRNA) molecules are approximately 80 nucleotides in length. Their secondary structure includes four short double-helical elements and three loops (D, anti-codon, and T loops). Lineage: Bacteria; Candidatus Saccharimonadota. The record is from RNAcentral.
GGCCUGGUAGCUCAAUGGAUAGAGCAGUUCCGUCCUAAGGAAAAGGUUGUAAGUUCGACUCUUACCCAGGUCACCA